AUACAUGCUCAUAAUAUGAUUUAAGAUACCUACAACAUCAUACAUAUCUAAAAAUAUUAUACAGUUUUCUUAUUAUUUAAUUACAUACGAAAAAACGAUUCGCCAAAGCAUACGUUAUACAUCGAAAUGUAUUUCAAACACACACACACACGAUAACAGUAUCCCAUAUAGCAUACAACCACCUGCCAGCCACCCAGGCCUUUGUUCAUUAAAUUACAUACAGACUCAUACACACACACACACAAACUCACACAUAGUCUCAAUUAUAAAACAUUCCAAUCCAAUAGAGUACAAACCUUUUCACCCCGCAACCCGUCCUCACACCCUAACAACAUCAUCCGACUACAGACCUGUACAAGCCUGUAGUGAUACGUCCGACUGUCCAAGUAUUGUCGAUGAAUUCCAGCCAUAAAGUAUAGUGCAUAGUGCAAAAUUAAAUCAGUCUGUUAACUACCGUUCAAGUCGUGUUAUUUCAGAGUUCUUACGGGGUUUUAAAGUGUAUACAAAUAUUUUACAAGUAUUAUAAAAUUAAGUUAUUUAUUUUACUUUAAUGAACAUCGUAGUUCAUUUUUCUACCACUAGUUCUGAUAUUAGCGCAUACGUUAAUAAUUUGCUUAGAUAAAACUAUUUCACACUGUUAUUUAAAGUACAAUAUAUUUUUCUAUAAUUCAUCACCCAUCUAUUCGUUGAAGGGUAAAGUCUUGUUUCGCGAGUUCGACUAGUGUUCAUCAGUUUUCAUCAGACGUAAUCAUGUUCUCGUGUAAUAUAUGUGAUAAAACCUUUACAAUGAUUAAAAAUCUACACAGACAUGCCAAGUCACACGAUGUAUCCAAUAAGAUUUCAUGCAGUAUAUGCUCAGAAAUAUUUAUGCGAAAAGAUAACCUCAUCAGGCAUAGCAAGGAUAAACAUCCUUCAAAUAUUGUAGUUCAACAACAACCAACCAUAACCAAGCAAGAAAUUCAAGAUUUUUUUACACCAGCUGAACACAUUUACGAUUAUAAUGUUCAAUCUCACAAUGGUCAUAAGCGCCCAUAUCAUACGGAAAAUUCGAAUGAAGCAGCAAAUGCUAAAAAGACACGCAUGAGCAUCGUCAAGACUCGAGGAUUCAUCAAGACAGGCACAUCGUUAUCGAAUAAAAUCAAUUGGUAUUACGUGAAAAAUACAGAUAACUUGACCAACUACAGAACAUUUUUAGAAUCAUAGAAUUAUUUUUUCAAGUACCUAUCUAAUUAAUAACAAUACUAUUUUCAGCUUCAAAUAUUGUAGUUCAACAACAACCAACCAUAACCAAGCAAGAAAUUCAAGAUUUUUUUACACCAGCUAAACACAUUUACGAUUAUAAUGGUAAAUAUAUUAUUCAUAACUUUAUAUGUACAUAUAUAUAUAUAACUUACUUAGGUAAUUAUGGAUAAUAUAUUAGGUACUUUAUAGAAAAUAGAACACUUCAUGUAGAAAUAUUACUUUAUCGAUGAAUUAAAAUAAAUGUUGCUUUAUAACCUUUCAAAAUAUUUAAAAUAAAAAAUGCUAUUAGGUUUUUUUUUUCAAAAUCGCAUAAAACAAUACCUGUAAAAAAGAAAGGUUACUUCAUCUUCACCAUGUGAAGAUGUAGUCAUGAUGGAUCAUGACCUUUCUUUUUUUUUUGAACCUACAGGAAACUAACUUAACCUAACCUACACAAAACUAACUUAAUCCUUGUGGAUGGUGAGGGGGGGAUAUAGUCGUGCACGUUUGUGAGUGGUUGUGUUGAUGUAUUGUAUGAUCUUAAAUGUAGCUCGAGAUAAACAAAAAUCGUGUGAAUUCGCCAUACUCAGUUAUAUUGAAUAUAUUAUCUAUCGAUGAUUCUGAAUGACUUUAUAAAUUUAAAUAAAAAACAAUUUUAACUGUGCAUAUUAGACUGCUUAUGUUGUGCGAGAUAUUUAUUUUUGCUUAUAUUUCGAAUUUUGUUAGCUAUGUUUAAAAUAUUUGUAUUAGAGCAGAUUAUUUUACAUAUUUAUAAAUAUAUUUAAUCAAGUCAAAUUAUUUAUGUACAUUUGAUAACAAUAUAGCUAAUAUAUGUUCAUUUGUCAAUGAAUUUAAGAUAUUUUCAUGCAAAUUUGACAAAAUUAUUGUUGAUUAUAGAUGUUUUUAUUAAAAUAAUAAUGAUAUUUUUACAUAUUUUUAAUGAAUUUAUGAAAUUUAAGUACCCGUGUUUUCAUUAAUAUUAUUUUUACUAUCGAAUCAUACUAUAAAACUUAUAUUCAAUUAACUCAGGCUGUUUUAUUUUUAACAAAUCUAUAGCUGUAACUAUGAACAAGACACAUCUCAGCAUUCCAUGGUGAGUUAAUGUUGAUACAAACACCAACAUUUAGCAUUAAAUAAUAUGAAGCCAUGAUAGUAUACUUAUAUUGUUCUAGCAUACAUGUACCUUUACAAUGUAUGUUCAGAUGUAAAGAAUUAUACAUGCGAGAAAAGGAAAUAAUAUAUCAAAAAUAAUAAAAAGAUUUGAAUUAUGAUAAGUGACUUUAUUACAAAAAAAAACAAUUUAAUAUAUAUAUAGAGAUAUUUUACAAAAUAAAAAACAAAACACAAUAAUAUCUACACAGCUAUUUUACAAAAAUAAUAAACUAAUUAAUAUUUACAGAGAUAUUUCACAAAAUAAAAAUUAAAUUAACCUAAACAUUUAUAAAAUUAAAUAUAAUUUACAAAUAUAUAUGUAUGUUUAUAGUUUUUUUUUUUUUAAAAUACAAUUAACAAUCGAGUUUAAAAUGUCCAUGAGCGUAGGUAUGUAUUCUAUCGGUCUUUGCUAUCCGCUUAUCAUCUUGUCGUUUGAAGCAUAAUUUUUUGGAUUUGAUUGUUCGUAUCUUA
Metopolophium dirhodum (rose-grain aphid) is the source of this 2844-nucleotide long non-coding RNA. RefSeq lists it as uncharacterized. The record is from RefSeq and is a predicted model, not a curated record. The transcript is spliced from 3 exons. NCBI's taxonomy places the organism in Eukaryota, Metazoa, Arthropoda, Insecta, Hemiptera, Aphididae.